GAUGAACGCUGGCGGCGUGCCUAACACAUGCAAGUCGAACGGAAAGGCCAUGCUCUUGUGGGGUGCUCGAUUGGCGAACGGGUGAGUAACACGCGUGUAUCAUGCCCUUGUCUUUGGGAUAACUUCACGAAACUGGGGCUAUUACCGGAUAGGAGCUUCAGCAGCAUGGGGGGGGUUGGAAAGUUUCGGCGGUGGGGGAUGGACUGGCGGCUUAUCAGCUGGUUGGUGGGGUAGUGGCGUACCAAGGGUUUGAAGGGUAGCCGGCCUGAGAGGGUGACCGGCCACAUUGGGACUGAGAUACGGCGCAGACUCCUACGGGAGGCAGCAGUGGGGAAUAUUGCACAAUGGGCGGAAGCCUGAUGCAGCAACGCCGCGUGCGGGAUGACGGCCUUCGGGUUGUAAACCGCUUUCGCCUGUGACGAAGCGUGAGUGACGGUAAUGGGUAAAGAAGCACCGGCUAACUACGUG
Molecule: ribosomal RNA, 468 nt
Filed under: uncultured bacterium
Lineage: Bacteria
Description: partial 16S ribosomal RNA
Rfam family: Bacterial small subunit ribosomal RNA
Source: RNAcentral